GAUGAAGAACGUAGCGAAAUGCGAUAAGUAGUGUGAAUUGCAGAAUUCAGUGAAUCAUCGAAUCUUUGAACGCACAUUGCGCCCCUCGGUAUUCCGUGGGGCAUGCCUGUUCGAGCGUCAUUUACACCCUCAAGCUCUGCUUGGUGUUGGGCGUCUGUCCCGCCUCCGUGCGCGGACUCGCCUCAAAGUCAUUGGCAGCGGUCUCGUCGGCUUCUCGCGCAGCACAUAUGCGCUUCUUGGAGCCCCGGCGGAUCAGCGUCCAGCAAGCAAGUUCAUGACUUGACCUCGGAUCAGGUAGGGAUACCCGCUGAACUUAAGCAUAUCAAUAAGCGGAGGA
Molecule: unclassified non-coding RNA, 337 nt
Filed under: soil metagenome
Description: partial contains 5.8S ribosomal RNA, internal transcribed spacer 2, and large subunit ribosomal RNA
Rfam family: 5.8S ribosomal RNA (bases 1-120)
Source: RNAcentral